Molecule: long non-coding RNA, 1763 nt
Organism: Photinus pyralis (common eastern firefly)
Lineage: Eukaryota; Metazoa; Arthropoda; Insecta; Coleoptera; Lampyridae
Exons: 4
Source: RefSeq, a predicted model, not a curated record
UUUACUGUGGACGUGAUGUAUAUAACUAAUCUUGCACAACAUUAAUAUAGUUACUCCUAAUUUCAGGUAGUAACUACCAGAUAUCGUAUGAAGAUUUGGGAAUGAGCAAGUGCCGGCACGGUGGAUUCCCAAGAUCCUCAGUUCCGAACAAAAACUGUGUGGACCACAAACUUCCAAGGAGAAUUUGACUGCAUUAUAACCAAGAUAGAUUUUGUAGGGAAUUGUAACUGGGGAUGAGACCGAGAUACACCCAUCUACAAAAUAAAAGUCCAUACAAUGGGUUCAUAAAGGGUCAACGCCCCUCAAUAAGCUAAAGACGCAAUUUGGAAAGUGGAAAGUCAUAACCACUGUUUACUGGGAGCUGAUUCUGUUAAUUGAAUAUAUGGAAAAAAGGUCUAGUUAUACGGGGGAUAUCUACAAUGGCACCGCUUAAAACUUGAAACUGGUUAUACGCGAAUGCGGAAUCCAAUAAUUAUUCUGAUUCUAUACUGCAGAGUGCAUAUAAAACAAGUUGUUGAACUAAUCAACAAAUGCGGUUUUAAGUAAUUACGGCAUCCAUAGUCAUAGUAUAGCCCCGAUCUGGUAGCAAGUAGUGUAACGAAGCACCCAUUUCCACCCCGAAGUUCAUACCAGAAAUUAUGACCGCACCGUACAUUUGUGAAGUCGACCAUCUUUACUGAACACCCGGUAUCGAGUUUACCGUUUCGUUGCUGAAGUUCCGGAAUUUAAUUAUUUGCUCGAUGACCGCCGAAUGCUCUCUUGCCAGGGAAGAAGGGAGUCAAUAGUUUAAGUUAAGGUUUUAGCGUCGUUAAUUAAUUAUUAACGUUGUUAGAUUCCCAUAAUAAGCGAAAACCAGGAUAGAAACGAGUUCCAAAUGGAGUUGUUUACACGUUAUCAGUCUUGCAGGCAGGUCGGGGUAUAGACAACAACGCCAACGAGAUAUCGCCCAUUGAAAUAAAACUUCCAAUUAGGCUAGGUGUUUAAUUGGAUUGAUGUGUAUUGAAGAUUGAACGCGCCUAAUUGGGUAAGCAUGCUCAAUGAAUGGCGUCUUAAUGAGUUGUAGAAAAAACCACCAGGCGGCGCGGCGUUCAAAGUUAAUGACCGCGCUUAAAAGGUGAGCAGUUCGAUGCCUAUCUUAUAUUUUUCCGAUAACUACCGGCCGAGUAAUUAAUUGAAAACCGAAGUAAUUUGCAUCGCUUUCGGAGCGAAUACCGCGACGAGUUGGAAUUUUCCGGUUUUCUUUAUAAGGAUGGUGUCCCGAGCGUGUUUCCUGAAGAGCAUCACUCUAGAAUGUUUUAGUUUUAAUUUGAUGACAUUUAAGUUGGUAAAAUUUGUCAGGUGUUUUUUUUGUGUAAAAUUUCUUCAUCUUUAGAGAUUAUUUUAAGCCUUAUUCUUGUGUUAAAAAUUGAUUCAAACAAGACAACGGACGAUACCAUUUUAUUUACACUAAUUUACUGUUAUAAAUUAAUCCAUUUCAAGACCAUUGAAUAUACGUGAUUGAAGUCUACAUCGUCGUCGUUUGUGAGUGUAAUGAGAUAUUUGUCUUAUAUCGGUAACCAAUGUUCGGUCGUUGUUUCAAAAGCCUUUUCAUUUUCGUCUGUGGUUUUGGUGUACAUUAAAUUUGAUUUGGGAAGAUUUAAUUCAAAUAGUGUUGGAGAAAGAUUUAAGGCCUUUGUAUCGUUUUUAAAAAAAAAUGUCACGAUCGUUAUUUAAAAAAAUGUCACGUGGGUUUAUGAACUCGGUAAAUUUUUAGUCUCUGUUAA